Molecule: ribosomal RNA, 252 nt
Filed under: uncultured bacterium
Lineage: Bacteria
Description: partial 16S ribosomal RNA
Rfam family: Bacterial small subunit ribosomal RNA
Source: RNAcentral
UACGUAGGGGGCAAGCGUUGUCCGGAUUUAUUGGGCGUAAAGAGCGUGUAGGCGGCCAGGUAGGUCCGUUGUGAAAACUCGAGGCUCAACCUCGAGACGUCGAUGGAAACCAUCUGGCUAGAGUCCGGAAGAGGAGAGUGGAAUUCCUGGUGUAGCGGUGAAAUGCGCAGAUAUCAGGAAGAACACCCGUGCGAAGGCGGCUCUCUGGGACGGUACUGACGCUGAGACGCGAAAGCGUGGGGAGCGAACAGG